Molecule: transfer RNA, 73 nt
Filed under: Zootermopsis nevadensis
Lineage: Eukaryota; Metazoa; Arthropoda; Insecta; Blattodea; Termopsidae
Rfam family: tRNA
About the family: Transfer RNA (tRNA) molecules are approximately 80 nucleotides in length. Their secondary structure includes four short double-helical elements and three loops (D, anti-codon, and T loops).
Source: Rfam by way of RNAcentral
GGCACGCUGGUAUAGCGGUUAGAACGCUGGCCUUGUAAUCCUGGGGUCUCGGGUUCGAUUCCCGGCGGUGCCC